Long non-coding RNA from Pangasianodon hypophthalmus (striped catfish), 1724 nucleotides. RefSeq lists it as uncharacterized. The record is from RefSeq and is a predicted model, not a curated record. The transcript is spliced from 3 exons. NCBI's taxonomy places the organism in Eukaryota, Metazoa, Chordata, Actinopteri, Siluriformes, Pangasiidae.
UAACCUUAAAGCUGCUUUACUGUUGACAUUUCACGAUGACAGACGUCUGCGAACCUUCAUGAACACGUGUGUGUGCUCGCGGCACGUGACUGCAGCGUGGCGUUAACGGACCGGACGCAGCUGUGGCUCGACUGGAGAUCUGGACACGGGCUCGUCUCCGACGCAUUUUCAGAGGAAACUCCUCCGUCGCCGUCCUGAACUCGGGCGCUCGGCUCGGCCGUGUCUGUUAGCGCACAAAGCCCCCUGACGGCGCGGCAGCCGAGGGAAAGUGGAUUAGGUUUAAUAGGUGUGUAGCAAACGGGACGAGCCGCAGUGGGGCGGCGGGAAAAACGCCAACGCUUCAUAAUUGAGAGACGGCCGAUGGAGCUGACUCUGCGGGAGCCGAAUUAAACAGGGAAAUGGGCUGAAGCUCGAAGAGCAGAUAGUGAAGAGGCAUCUCUUACAUCCAAACAUCACGUGCAGUCUCACUGUCAGGACUGGAUCAGCUUCAGAGUAAAUAAAGAGCUGCUUUCGACUGGGAGAGAAUGUCAAUUAGUUUGCGCAGGUGAGAACACAGCAACGUCCGACCAAAACAACCGCUCCGAGACCACGAGAUCACCGGCAGCGUGACGCGAUUCCCUCCUGAAUCCCCCGGCUAGAGGACAGGGAGAGGCGCUGUGCGUUGUCGCCGCUCUGUAGAUCUGAGCUGCUAAACUGAGCUGAAGGACAGACGCUGUGGCAACGUGUCACAUUCUGAAGAACAAAAAGUGCAAAUAAACAACAAAACGCAAUAAACAGCAUGUUUCAAACUCGUCAUGUCUAUAAUUAUCUAGUCGUACUCCGAGCGCAGCUCUGUGCUCGCUGUGUUGCGCUGGUGUUUAUGAUUUCUACACACACUUGCCAAAGGUUUGUUUACUUUUUUCCCGUCGUUGUUACAGAGAGGAAACAAAUCAAACCAAAACAGCAAACGAACAGAAAGGAUCAUGUAGUCGACGUACACGGCGAUGAGUAACAUUUUACAUUCAACCCUCACAGAUAAACUGUUUACAGAGACAUGAAACGUAACCGUAAUGCCUGUUUCUUCUACAGAAAAAUACCGUAAGUCAAUACAAAUUCAUUUUAUAUAACAAAAAAUAAAGACAGAACAGCGGAAAGGAGAAAAAAAAGACUGAAGCGAGUGAAGAGGAGGAAACAGAAAAUAGAAAAUAACCUGAUGUCUGUAUUUGAGGUAAAUAUUUGGAGUCUUUGGAUGUUGUUGAUUGCGGAGAUUGGCUGAGAAGAACGAUAAGAUAAUAACUGCCUGAUAUUAAUCUGUAGACUCUACCGUUUAUCAGUCAGUGAAAUGAGAGAAACAUGGACACAAUCUGUGAUAUACACAACACUCACGGAUAAAAACACCAUGUGACAGGCGGUGAACUUCUGGAAACACGUGUACACGGCGCUGUGCGUGUGAAGUUGAUGAAAACACUCGCAGGAAAGAAACAGCUCUUAUUAUCUCUACAGUUUCUCCGAGACAGUAAUGAGAUGAAACGAAAGUAACAGCGAGACGUCUGAUGGAGUCUCCUGUCUCACGGCUUUCUCUCCUGAGCUGAAACACGUCAGUAAUCUCAACAAAGUCACACACACUGAUCUCAGAGCUGCUGAUUGAAUGAUGUGUUAAGUUCAGGGAGUGUAUUAAUGCGUAUGUGGAGAGAUGUACAGGUUACGUUUUAUCAGCUUUUAUUAGCUUCUCUAAGUACACUAGG